Long non-coding RNA from Ochotona princeps (American pika), 349 nucleotides. RefSeq lists it as uncharacterized. The record is from RefSeq and is a predicted model, not a curated record. The transcript is spliced from 4 exons. NCBI's taxonomy places the organism in Eukaryota, Metazoa, Chordata, Mammalia, Lagomorpha, Ochotonidae.
CCUCAGCGCAUGACCUUGACACAAGUGGGCCCAUAGAUGUGGUCCUAGUCUGUAGCCAGCAGAAGGCUUUCUCUUCCAACACAUCGAGAACUUAACCAGCAAGAUUGGAGCAGAAUAACUGUACCUCUGAGCAAGAUUUCCAAGAGCUGGAGUACAAAUAAACUCUCUCUCCUUCCCCCUUCUCUGCAUGCACAGUACUGCACACCGUGGACUGCAGCUUUGGGAAAGGACAAAAAAGAACAGUUCUUUCAGCAUAGCAACUUACGCAGGAGUUACUGUUUUUCUAAGAUCACAUUGAGUGCUGAGGAUACCUAUCCGAACAAGAGGUGAUCCAUCUUUGACCUUAGAA